Molecule: ribosomal RNA, 926 nt
Filed under: uncultured Bacteroidota bacterium
Lineage: Bacteria; Pseudomonadati; Bacteroidota
Description: bacterial SSU rRNA
Rfam family: Bacterial small subunit ribosomal RNA
Source: RNAcentral
UGGAUCCAGACUUUGAUUAUGGCUCAGGAUGAACGCUAGCUACAGGCUUAACACAUGCAAGUCGAGGGGAAACGAUAGAGAAAGCUUGCUUUUUCUAGGCGUCGACCGGCGCACGGGUGAGUAACGCGUAUCCAACCUGCCCACCACUUGGGGAUAACCUUGCGAAAGUAAGACUAAUACCCAAUGAUAUCUCAAGAAGACAUCUGAAUGAGAUUAAAGAUUCAUCGGUGAUGGAUGGGGAUGCGUCUGAUUAGCUUGUUGGCGGGGUAACGGCCCACCAAGGCUACGAUCAGUAGGGGUUCUGAGAGGAAGGUCCCCCACAUUGGAACUGAGACACGGUCCAAACUCCUACGGGAGGCAGCAGUGAGGAAUAUUGGUCAAUGGGCGAGAGCCUGAACCAGCCAAGUAGCGUGCAGGAUGACGGCCCUAUGGGUUGUAAACUGCUUUUAUAAGGGAAUAAAGUGAGCCUCGUGAGGCUUUUUGCAUGUACCUUAUGAAUAAGGACCGGCUAAUUCCGUGCCAGCAGCCGCGGUAAUACGGAAGGUCCGGGCGUUAUCCGGAUUUAUUGGGUUUAAAGGGAGCGUAGGCCGGAGAUUAAGCGUGUUGUGAAAUGUAGACGCUCAACGUCUGCACUGCAGCGCGAACUGGUUUCCUUGAGUACGCACAAAGUGGGCGGAAUUCGUAGUGUAGCGGUGAAAUGCUUAGAUAUCACGAAGAACUCCGAUUGCGAAGGCAGCUCACUGGAGCGCAACUGACGCUGAAGCUCGAAAGUGCGGGUAUCGAACAGGAUUAGAUACCCUGGUAGUCCGCACGGUAAACGAUGGAUGCCCGCUGUUGGUCUGAAUAGGUCAGCGGCCAAGCGAAAGCAUUAAGCAUCCCACCUGGGGAGUACGCCGGCAACGGUGCAACUCAAAUGAAUUGACGGA